RNAcentral lists this unclassified non-coding RNA (443 nucleotides) under Albizia chinensis. RNAcentral's name for it is "external transcribed spacer". Lineage: Eukaryota; Viridiplantae; Streptophyta; Magnoliopsida; Fabales; Fabaceae. The record is from RNAcentral.
GAGACAAGCAUAUGACUACUGGCAGGAUCAACCAGGUAGCAUUCCUCCAGGACGCCGCGCCCCGCCCCCGCGCCGCCGGGGCGGUCCUCAGGGGCGUGCGCGACCGUCGUGCGUUUUAUAUCGAAGCUCCUCUUAGGACCGGGGCACGGGUCCCCGUCCGCGGCGUGCGCUGGGUCCAAGAGCACUGCGCUCCCCCGUGGGCCACGCGACCGAAGAAGGCCCGGUGGAACACGGGGGGCGCUUCGCUGUCCUCCCGCGCCCGUUAGAAGGCGCCGGACGGAGGCUGGGUGCCAGUGGCCUUUGCUUCCCUCGGGGGGUAGGCGGCACAAGAACCAGCCUCUGAGGCACCAUCCCACCCCACGUCAACCGACGCUGAUCGCCCGCCGACCGUUCCAUGGACGAGCACGGAGCCAGCCGGCAGAGAAAAUCCAAACCACCCCCCC